This 376-nucleotide ribosomal RNA is filed under the name uncultured organism. Its description in RNAcentral is "partial 16S ribosomal RNA". It matches the Rfam family "Bacterial small subunit ribosomal RNA", at positions 527 to 896 of the family's 1533-position model. The record is from RNAcentral.
GUAGGUGGCAAGCGUUGUCCGGAAUUAUUGGGGCGUAAAGCGCGCGCAGGUGGUUCUUUAAGUCUGAUGUGAAAGCCCCCCGGGCUCAACCGGGGGAGGGUCAUUGGAAACUGGGGAACUUGAGUGCAGGAGAGGAAAGUGGAAUUCCACGUGUAGCGGUGAAAUGCGUAGAUAUGUGGAGGAACACCAGUGGCGAAGGCGACUUUCUGGCCUGUAACUGACACUGAGGCGCGAAAGCGUGGGGAGCAAACAGGAUUAGAUACCCUGGUAGUCCACGCCAUAAACGAUGAGUGCUAAGUGUUGGGGGGUUUCCGCCCCUCAGUGCUGCAGCUAACGCAUUAAGCACUCCGCCUGGGGAGUACGGUCGCAAAGACUG